CCUGCCCUAGAGGUGUUGCAGGUAUGGCUGCUGCAUCACAUGUGGGUCAGUAGGUGGUAGAGAGGAGAGGGACUGUGUCUAUGCUCAGUGUUCUGACCCAUGAACAUCUGAGUGAUUAGGAGCCUAACAUU
Small nucleolar RNA from Mastomys coucha (southern multimammate mouse), 131 nucleotides. RefSeq annotates it as small nucleolar RNA SNORA17. The record is from RefSeq and is a predicted model, not a curated record. The transcript has a single exon. Lineage: Eukaryota; Metazoa; Chordata; Mammalia; Rodentia; Muridae.